UCGCGGCUUAUCACCGGCAGUCCCCUUAGAGUGCCCAACUGAAUGAUGGCAACUAAAGACGAGGGUUGCGCUCGUCGCGGGACUUAACCCAACAUCUCACGACACGAGCUGACGACAGCAAUGCAGCACCUGUCACUCAUCCAGCCGAACUGAAGGAAACCAUCUCUGGAAUCCGCGAUGAGGAUGUCAAACGCUGGUAAGGUUCUUCGCGUUGCAUCGAAUUAAGCCACAUGCUCCGCCGCUUGUGCGGGCCCCCGUCAAUUCCUUUGAGUUUUAGCCUUGCGGCCGUACUCCCCAGGCGGGGUGCUUAACGCGUUAGCUACGACGCCUCCGGGGUCAAUACCAGAAACAUCUAGCACCCAUCGUUUACGGCGUGGACUAC
This 382-nucleotide unclassified non-coding RNA is filed under the name uncultured Pseudomonadota bacterium. RNAcentral's name for it is "uncultured proteobacterium contains 16S-23S intergenic spacer region". Lineage: Bacteria; Pseudomonadati; Pseudomonadota. The record is from RNAcentral.